This 1151-nucleotide ribosomal RNA is filed under the name Klebsiella pneumoniae UCI 56. Its description in RNAcentral is "bacterial LSU rRNA". It matches the Rfam family "Bacterial large subunit ribosomal RNA", at positions 1782 to 2925 of the family's 2925-position model. The record is from RNAcentral. Lineage: Bacteria; Pseudomonadati; Pseudomonadota; Gammaproteobacteria; Enterobacterales; Enterobacteriaceae.
GAUACCAGCUGGCUGCAACUGUUUAUUAAAAACACAGCACUGUGCAAACACGAAAGUGGACGUAUACGGUGUGACGCCUGCCCGGUGCCGGAAGGUUAAUUGAUGGGGUUAUCCGUAAGGAGAAGCUCUUGAUCGAAGCCCCGGUAAACGGCGGCCGUAACUAUAACGGUCCUAAGGUAGCGAAAUUCCUUGUCGGGUAAGUUCCGACCUGCACGAAUGGCGUAAUGAUGGCCAGGCUGUCUCCACCCGAGACUCAGUGAAAUUGAACUCGCUGUGAAGAUGCAGUGUACCCGCGGCAAGACGGAAAGACCCCGUGAACCUUUACUAUAGCUUGACACUGAACAUUGAGCCUUGAUGUGUAGGAUAGGUGGGAGGCUUUGAAGCGUGGACGCCAGUCUGCGUGGAGCCAACCUUGAAAUACCACCCUUUAAUGUUUGAUGUUCUAACGUUGGCCCCUUACCGGGGUUGCGGACAGUGUCUGGUGGGUAGUUUGACUGGGGCGGUCUCCUCCCAAAGCGUAACGGAGGAGCACGAAGGUUAGCUAAUCCUGGUCGGACAUCAGGAGGUUAGUGCAAUGGCAUAAGCUAGCUUGACUGCGAGCGUGACGGCGCGAGCAGGUGCGAAAGCAGGUCAUAGUGAUCCGGUGGUUCUGAAUGGAAGGGCCAUCGCUCAACGGAUAAAAGGUACUCCGGGGAUAACAGGCUGAUACCGCCCAAGAGUUCAUAUCGACGGCGGUGUUUGGCACCUCGAUGUCGGCUCAUCACAUCCUGGGGCUGAAGUAGGUCCCAAGGGUAUGGCUGUUCGCCAUUUAAAGUGGUACGCGAGCUGGGUUUAGAACGUCGUGAGACAGUUCGGUCCCUAUCUGCCGUGGGCGCUGGAGAAUUGAGGGGGGCUGCUCCUAGUACGAGAGGACCGGAGUGGACGCAUCACUGGUGUUCGGGUUGUCAUGCCAAUGGCACUGCCCGGUAGCUAAAUGCGGAAGAGAUAAGUGCUGAAAGCAUCUAAGCACGAAACUUGCCCCGAGAUGAGUUCUCCCUGAGACUUUAAGUCUCCUGAAGGAACGUUGAAGACGACGACGUUGAUAGGCCGGGUGUGUAAGCGCAGCGAUGCGUUGAGCUAACCGGUACUAAUGAACCGUGAGGCUUAACCUU